AUUGAACGCUGGCGGCAUGCCUUACACAUGCAAGUCGAACGGCAGCGCGGGGCAACCUGGCGGCGAGUGGCGAACGGGUGAGUAAUAUAUCGGAACAUACCCUAGAGUGGGGGAUAACGUAGCGAAAGUUACGCUAAUACCGCAUACGCACUAAGGUGGAAAGUGGGGGAUUCGCAAGAACCUCAUGCUCAUGGAGUGGCCGAUAUCUGAUUAGCUAGUUGGUGAGGUAAAGGCUCACCAAGGCGACGAUCAGUAGCUGGUUUGAGAGAACGACCAGCCACACUGGAACUGAGACACGGUCCAGACUCCUACGGAGGCAGCAGUGGGGAAUUUUGGGACAAUGGGGGCAACCCUGAUCCAGCAAUGCCGCGUGAGUGAAGAAGGCC
This 386-nucleotide ribosomal RNA is filed under the name uncultured bacterium. RNAcentral's name for it is "bacterial SSU rRNA". It matches the Rfam family "Bacterial small subunit ribosomal RNA", at positions 30 to 416 of the family's 1533-position model. The record is from RNAcentral.